AAGUAAAAACUUACUUUUAUUUAAUUUUCUAAAUUAAUAGAAAUAACUUUAUUUAUAGUAGGGUUUACUGAAUUAAUUAUUUUGUUGUAGUUAAGUGUACUGUAGAGGAAACUUUUUAUUUUAAUUAAAGAAGUUUUUACUUAAUGUACCUUUUGUAUCAGGGUUAAUUAAUUAAUUUCAUUUAUUUGUCUUUCCCGAAGUUAAGGGAGAUACCAUAUAUGUUAGUUAUUGUUUCAUAACUAUUAAUAAUAUAAUGGUUGUAAUGAAAAGUUAUUCGUUCUUAAAUAUCUGGUUUUCCAGGAAUUGAAUUUAAUUCAUAAUUACUAGUUUACAUAUUUUAAAUUGAAUUAUUUUUGUUUAGUAAUUUAAUAAUUUUGGGGAUAAGCUCGGGAUUAAUUUUAUAAUUAUUAUUUGUAUAUUAAUUUUUGUAGGCCUAUAAUCAGCCAUCAUUAACUUCGUUAUAGAAUAUAUUUUUAUAUUUUUUAUUUAGUAUAAUUUAAUUUUUUAUUGGGAUUAUCUAUUUAAUAGGUUAAUAGAUGUAAUAAUGAUUAGAUUAGUAUAUAUGAUAAUUAAGUUAUAGGAAUUCGGCAAGUAUAAUGCUCACCUGUUUAACAAAAACAUGUCUUUUUGAUUAUAAUAUUUAAGGUCUAACCUGCCCAAUGAGGCUUCAAUGGCCGCGGUAUUUUAACUGUGCUAAGGUAGCAUAAUCAUUUGUCUUUUAAUUGAGGGCUUGUAUGAAGGGUUGAAUGAAGCAUUCUCUUUCUUUAACUUAUAAUUAGAAUUUUCCUUUUUAGUUAAAAGGCUAAAAUUUUUGUGUUGGACGAGAAGACCCUAUAGAUCUUAAUAUUUUUAAUUAUUAGCUUUUUUAGAUUAUUUACUAGUUAAUAUUUUACUAUAUAUUUAAUUGGGGUGAUUUUAGAAAUUAAAUAACUUCUAUUUUUCUAAUUCAUAAAUUAAUGUUUUAAUGAUCCGUUAUUAUUGAUUAUAAGAUUAAGUUACCUUAGGGAUAACAGCGUAAUUUUUUUGGAGAGUUCAUAUCGAUAAAGAAGUUUGCGACCUCGAUGUUGGAUUAAAAUUAGUAUUAGGCGCAAUAGUUUAAUAACUAGGUCUGUUCGACCUUUAAUUUUUUACAUGAUCUGAGUUCAGACCGGCGUGAGCCAGGUCAGUUUCUAUCCUCAUUAAUUAUACUAUAUUUUAGUACGAAAGGACCAAAUAUAGGAAAUAUUUUUUUUCUUUGAUUAAAAUU
Molecule: ribosomal RNA, 1246 nt
Filed under: Androclus borneensis
Lineage: Eukaryota; Metazoa; Arthropoda; Insecta; Hemiptera; Reduviidae
Description: partial large subunit ribosomal RNA
Rfam family: Bacterial large subunit ribosomal RNA (bases 816-1177)
Source: RNAcentral